This 200-nucleotide unclassified non-coding RNA is filed under the name Hevea brasiliensis (rubber tree). Lineage: Eukaryota; Viridiplantae; Streptophyta; Magnoliopsida; Malpighiales; Euphorbiaceae. The record is from RNAcentral.
GAUUUUGGAGCACGGGUGGCCGAUUUUGGUGUAGCCAAGGUGGUUGAUUCCACCACCGGAAAGCCUAAGUCCAUGUCUAUCAUUGCAGGGUCUUGUGGUUACAUUGCUCCAGAGUAUGCUUACACACUUCGAGUGAAUGAGAAGAGUGAUAUCUACAGCUUUGGUGUGGUUAUUCUGGAGUUGGUCACAAGGAAACUUCC